This 1064-nucleotide long non-coding RNA is filed under the name Vulpes vulpes (red fox). RNAcentral describes it as "lncRNA (ENSVVUG00000010122.1)". Lineage: Eukaryota; Metazoa; Chordata; Mammalia; Carnivora; Canidae. The record is from RNAcentral.
CACAUGUGUGUAAGAUUUUCAUUGAGAUUGUUUUUUAUAAAGUGGAUCCUAUAAAACCCAUUACACUCCAGCUUUGUUUCUUCACUUAAGGAUUGAUACCUCUCCAGGUUAAUACAUACAGAUCUUAAGUAUUUAACAAAUGGUGUUUACUAUUCCAUGAUAUGGAUGUGGUACCAUUUAUUAGACUUUCUUGGUAUCCCAUUUUAAGAGGAAUACUGGCGAAUAGGGGACAGGAUAACUUUCCAGGGUGGGAUGGCAAAAGAUAGAGCCAGAAGCCAUGAUAUACAAAGAAUGAUGGAAGCAACCAGAGCUAUUUAAAUGGGAGAAUGAAAGGGGAGGGUUGAGCCAAGGGGAGGAUUGGUUGGGUUCAUUAACUAAUAUUGGGAUUUUGCUCAGUGUAAGGUGGAACAAGUCAAUGAUUCUGUUUAGUAUUUGGUUCCUUGUCAGGAUAGGGCUGCGGAAGGGGAGAAGAAAGACUCCAUUUCCUUCAAGUGGCUGGAGGUAUGUGCAAAAACAGCUUUUGGGGUAAACAAGUCUGCCCUACCUCCACUCCAUCACCAGAAUGCUGGCAGGCACCAAGCAACCUCCACAGCUCCUUUCACUUUCUCCAGCUACAACAUGGUACUCCUGAGACACUUUGGAAGCAGUGACCCAGGAGACCAGCAGGUGGCACAUGGGAACCAGGUUACACACGCCAUUGCCCAGGACCAAGAUGGAAGAGGCUGACGUAGAGCAAGGUCAGUUGGCUGACUUGAGGCUGACUUGGCUGACUGACUCCUCAGUCUUGAGAAAUUGAAUGCUGCCUAUGAGGACCACAAAAAUCUGUAGGACUGCAGGACUUAAGUGAUUAAAAUGCAGGGAGGGUAAGACCAGAGCAACACUAAAGGAUGGGAACAGCAUAAUAGUCAUUCUUUUAACCUCUCCUAAUCCUUUCUCUCAAACUGAGUUACCUCAUAUCAGGAUCGUAAACUGAAGAACAUACAUUGUAGGUAAAGCAACAAGCGUAGUAUGAAGAGCUCAACAUUGGUUGCUAUAAAAUAAAUACUCUCUGGUUGAGUUGAACA